CUCCGUUCCUUCCAGGUGGUCGCGCUCGCACUCUGGCCGCCUCUUUUCUUUUUCUUUUUUCUUUCCUUUGAUAAGAUAAUAAAGAUCCACCGCUAAAACCUCCAACAAAUAGCACGAGGAGAGACAAGCAAAGCAAGCGACAUCGAAAGACGAACGAUCAUUCGUCCGACGUGGCGCGCGGCGAUUGGGUGUUUUGGGGGGACGUGGCAGCCCACGGACGAGUCUAAAAAAUAUCCCGACGCGCCGUUCCAUCGUUUGACCGAAAACGCGCUCUGUGC
This 278-nucleotide long non-coding RNA is filed under the name Brachypodium distachyon (stiff brome). RNAcentral's name for it is "long non-coding RNA (BDIS_LNC004115)". The record is from RNAcentral. Lineage: Eukaryota; Viridiplantae; Streptophyta; Magnoliopsida; Poales; Poaceae.